GACGAACGCUGGCGGCGUGCCUAAUACAUGCAAGUAGAACGCUGAAGGAGGAGCUUGCUCUUCUGGAUGAGUUGCGAACGGGUGAGUAACGCGUAGGUAACCUGCCUGGUAGCGGGGGAUAACUAUUGGAAACGAUAGCUAAUACCGCAUAACAGUAGAUGUUGCAUGACAUUUGCUUAAAAGGUGCAAUUGCACCACUACCAGAUGGACCUGCGUUGUAUAGCUAGUUGGUGGGGUAACGGCUCACCAAGGCGACGAUACAUAGCCGACCUGAGAGGGUGAUCGGCCACACUGGGACUGAGACACGGCCCAGACUCCUACGGGAGGCAGCAGUAGGGAAUCGUCGGCAAUGGACGGAAGUCUGACCGAGCAACGCCGCGUGAGUGAAGAAGGUUUUCGGAUCGUAAAGCUCUGUUGUAAGAGAAGAACGAGUGUGAGAGUGGAAAGUUCACACUGUGACGGUAUCUUACCAGAAAGGGACGGCUAACUACGUG
This 494-nucleotide ribosomal RNA is filed under the name uncultured bacterium. RNAcentral's name for it is "partial 16S ribosomal RNA". It matches the Rfam family "Bacterial small subunit ribosomal RNA", at positions 28 to 507 of the family's 1533-position model. The record is from RNAcentral.